AAAGAUAUAGCAUAUUCUUCUGAAUAUACUUUAUUAACCCAUUCCGAGUACCUUACCCGUUGCUUCCGCGAGGCUGUCCUCACGGCCCUCUGAAGAUUUAUCUUUGGGGGAGUCCUUGCGGAAGGUAUACAAUAAACUCUUGCAUUACCAUGUCAUCUGUCUGAAUCUGUUUAAAAACAAAUAUUA
This 186-nucleotide unclassified non-coding RNA is filed under the name soil metagenome. Its description in RNAcentral is "partial internal transcribed spacer 1". The record is from RNAcentral.